RNAcentral lists this ribosomal RNA (200 nucleotides) under uncultured bacterium. RNAcentral's name for it is "partial 16S ribosomal RNA". It matches the Rfam family "Bacterial small subunit ribosomal RNA", at positions 326 to 537 of the family's 1533-position model. The record is from RNAcentral.
ACGCUCGACACCUACGGAAGGCAGCAGUUGGGAAUAUUGGACAAUGGAGGGAACUCUGAUCCAGUGACGCCGCGUGAAGGAAGAAGGUCUUCGGAUUGUAAACUUAUUUUAUCAGGGAAGAAAGAAAUGACAGUACCUGAAGAAGAAGGACCGGCUAACUACGUGCAGCAGCCGCGGUAAUCUGAGCGGGCUGGCAAGGC